RNAcentral lists this ribosomal RNA (474 nucleotides) under Tricharina gilva. RNAcentral's name for it is "partial large subunit ribosomal RNA". It matches the Rfam family "Eukaryotic large subunit ribosomal RNA", at positions 71 to 547 of the family's 3401-position model. Lineage: Eukaryota; Fungi; Ascomycota; Pezizomycetes; Pezizales; Pyronemataceae. The record is from RNAcentral.
GGGAUUGCCUUAGUAACUGCGAGUGAAGCGGCAAAAGCUCAAAUUUGAAAUCGGCGUCCUUUGCGGGCAUCGAGUUGUAAUUUGGAGGGAUAACUUCGGUACAGACUACAUCGUAAGUUCCUUGGAACAGGACGUCAUAGAGGGUGAGAAUCCCGUGUCUUGGUGUUUGGCUGUGCCAUGUGAAGUGUCUCCGACGAGUCGAGUUGUUUGGGAAUGCAGCUCAAAAUGGGUGGUAAAUUUCAUCUAAAGCUAAAUAUUGGCGAGAGACCGAUAGCGCACAAGUAGAGUGAUCGAAAGAUGAAAAGCACUUUGAAAAGAGAGUUAAAAAGUACGUGAAAUUGUUGAAAGGGAAGCGCUUGCGACCAGACUCGAUCUUUGGUGAUCAGCCGGGCUUCGGUCCGGUGCCCUUACCAUUGAUUGGGCCAGCAUCGGUUCCGACGGCGGGAUAAAAGGAGGAGGAAUGUGGCUCCCUUC